RNAcentral lists this long non-coding RNA (980 nucleotides) under Papio anubis (olive baboon). Its description in RNAcentral is "lncRNA (ENSPANG00000042458.1)". Lineage: Eukaryota; Metazoa; Chordata; Mammalia; Primates; Cercopithecidae. The record is from RNAcentral.
CUUCAAUCCCUUGUAAUUUCCUCAUUCACAGCUACUGACAAUUCAAAGAAUCUGUGCCAAAUCCAAAUUCUCUAAUUUAGUUACAUUCAGCAUACUCCUAAAGUAUGUGCUCAGAUGGAAAGUUGGCUCUUUUAGGUUCAAAGAAUUCUGAUCAUAAGGGUUGAAGUAUCAGGGUUUCUCAGAUAACCAAAAGUCCAAAGAACUAAAGCAUCCCAUUCUCCAGGUACUUUGGUUUUCAAUGUCAUUAAGCAGACACUAUUCUCUCUGAUCAAUACCAUGAUAUCUCAGCCUCAGUUGACAAAUCAGCGUUAGGUUGCUGUCAGAUUCCACUAAGAACUAUGUGCAUCUCCACUUGUGUAAGGUGCCGCUGGGUCCAUCCAUCUAUCAUAAAGAAUCUUUGCAUUUAAGGAAGUGAUAUCGAGGCCGAGGUGGGAGAAUAGCUUGAACCCAGGAGGUUGCAGUGAGCUGAGAUCUUGCCAUUGCACUUCAGCCUGGCCACGCGAUUGAAACUCUGUCUCAAAAAAAAAAAAAAAAAAAGAAAAGAAAAGAAAAGAAAAAAAGAAGCGAUGUCAUUUGAAGCAGCAUUCAGGUCCUUCUGAAAAUCCACUGUUCACUGAAAAGACACAAUUCCACAUGUUAAAACAAGUGCAAUUAUCCAUCCUUUUCCGUUUGAUAAGCUGCUAAUGCUUCAUCCCGCUACUGGAGCCCCGGUCUCGUUAGUUAGGGCAGGGGGCCCUCUGCUGGGUACAUGCCCAGGUCUCUGCUUCAAGGCUGAUGAUCAGGCUGAGUCUGUGUGUCACUCUCACUCAGCUUCUGCAAGCACUGCCACUGGAGAACUGAGAGGACAUCGAUUGUGGUGUGAAGAUCAUCUCUUGCCUUGCUCUGUUGAGUUGUCUAUGUCCUCUUCUGGUAAUGGAAUAACUCUUCCACCCCAUUCCUGGACCAUGUCGUGCAGCGUUCAUGACGUGGAGGGCCUGUAG